ACCCCCUGACAAUGGGCAAAGAGACACCUUGUUAAUGGUGUUGUUCUUAUAUCAGUCAGGGGGCAAGAGCAGUUGGCCUUUGUUCAUCCUAACUGAUGCCUGGCUUGGUGGCCAAAAGCUGUUUCAUGGGGGGGGCCCCAAA
Molecule: small nucleolar RNA, 142 nt
Organism: Rattus rattus (black rat)
Lineage: Eukaryota; Metazoa; Chordata; Mammalia; Rodentia; Muridae
Product: small nucleolar RNA SNORA48
Exons: 1
Source: RefSeq, a predicted model, not a curated record